CGAUGAUUGCCAGUAUCUGCCGACCAUUUGAGAUGAAACAAGCUGUGAGACAGUGUAGCUGGAAAAGAGCACAUGCUCCUUGGAAAGCAGUUAUUAUUGUUAAUUCAUUAUAUGAUGCUCCAAUUAAAGUUCAUCCCAUAUUUUUAGAAAAAACUGGAUGAACUGACCACGUGAGGUGUUGCAUGCAGUGAGAAACCUGUGGACAAUUUUCACCUGUUGAUUUGCUUUAGCUGUUUUUGCUAAUUGGUUUGUUUUCAGGUCAACUUUAAGAUGCAGUGUUUAAAUCUAACGGCACGAGGAUUUCUGUUGUCUCCACGAAACAUUUGAACAAAUCUCUGGUUAACACAACUCAGCAUUACCUGCUAAAAAUAUCUCCCCCAACAGCUGGUAGAGUCCAAAAUGAAGUUUUUUGGUCCAUAUUAACAUAAUAGCAUCACACAGAUACUGCACAUUUGUCAGGUGCUCAUCCAUAAUGAAAAACACUCAGACCAGUCCAUCUGGCACCACAUUCAAAGUUACUUAAAGGAGCAGUCCCCAACCCUCGGGCCAUGGACUGGUCCCGGUCUGUGAGUCGUUGCGAGAGUUGAGGCUCGGGUUGACAUUUAUGGUUUUCAGGGUUUUUAUUGUUUGUUUGUUUUUUAAAUCGUUUUUAUCAUUAACUCAGGUUCCCUGGGUCUUUUCCUGUGCAUCAUGAAUAAAUGUUCGUUUUUGUUUGUUUUUUUUUUUGGGUAUCAGCACUGGUUUUAUUUUGUUGUAUUUAUCUGCAACACUUUAAAGGCCGGUCCGUGAAAAUAUUGUUGGACAAAAACCGGUCCGUGGUGCAAAAAAGUUUGGGGACUGCUGACUAAAGUACUUUUUUUUUCCUCCUGAAAAGAAGGAGGAGAGGGACCUGCUUUGAACUUCAGCAGAUCAUGUUGACCAAAUCUACAUGCCUAAAUUAUCUGAUCAGCUGCCAUGUGAUUGGCUGAUCGGAUAUUUGCGUUGAAGCAGUUGAAUGGUGUACUGACUGAAGUGGCCAGAGAAUAUGUUUAUCUACCUAUUUUCAGAGGUGGGAAAAAGAAAACAUCACCUAAACUGCCAGCUCAAUUGACCGAGCAAAGACGUUGUAUUAAUGUUAAAUUGUCAUCUUCACUGUUGGAGUAUUCAGCAUUAUAUAUUUGAACUUUGAUGGUGACUGAUUUUGUCAUUUAUGGUACGUAAACAAAAGUUAAAAUUGUUAAUGAGCUAACAGAAAUAGUCUAUCUGGACUGAGACAGGCUGACAGGAACCUGAAAGGACUUUCUGUUAAAUCUGUUUAACAGAUUAACUAAAUUAAACUCACUGGUUUGAUUAAGAACACUGUCAGGUGUCAUUAUCAGCUUCCAAGACUUGAUUAAUCCUGGACUAAAAGGAAAGACACUGAAGGCUUCCACAGAAAAACUUUGACUUGU
Long non-coding RNA from Astatotilapia calliptera (eastern happy), 1430 nucleotides. The record is from Ensembl. NCBI's taxonomy places the organism in Eukaryota, Metazoa, Chordata, Actinopteri, Cichliformes, Cichlidae.